Molecule: unclassified non-coding RNA, 397 nt
Filed under: soil metagenome
Description: partial contains 5.8S ribosomal RNA, internal transcribed spacer 2, and large subunit ribosomal RNA
Rfam family: 5.8S ribosomal RNA (bases 1-122)
Source: RNAcentral
GAUGAAGAACGUAGCGAAAUGCGAUACUUGGUGUGAAUUGCAGAAUCCCGUGAACCAUCGAGUCUUUGAACGCAAGUUGCGCCCGAAGCCACUAGGCCGAGGGCACGCCUGCCUGGGCGUCACACGUCGUUGCCCUCCCAUCUACUCCUUCGGGAUUGCGGGGGGGGGGGGGGCGGAUGAUGGCCUCCCGUGCACCUAGCCGCGCGGUUGGCAUAAAUAUCAAGUCCUCGGCGACGCACGCCACGACAAUCGGUGGUUGCAAAACCUCGGUUGCCCGUCGUGUGCAUUCGUCGCGCAUCGAGGGCUCGAAAAAAUGCCUUGCCUUGCUCGGCUUUCAACGGGACCCCAGGUCAGGCGGGGUUACCCGCUGAAUUUAAGCAUAUCAAUAAGCGGAGGA